This 553-nucleotide ribosomal RNA is filed under the name Acinetobacter sp. JA52-2. RNAcentral's name for it is "bacterial SSU rRNA". It matches the Rfam family "Bacterial small subunit ribosomal RNA", at positions 119 to 667 of the family's 1533-position model. Lineage: Bacteria; Pseudomonadati; Pseudomonadota; Gammaproteobacteria; Moraxellales; Moraxellaceae. The record is from RNAcentral.
AGGAAUCUGCCUAUUAGUGGGGGACAACAUUCCGAAAGGAAUGCUAAUACCGCAUACGCCCUACGGGGGAAAGCAGGGGAUCUUCGGACCUUGCGCUAAUAGAUGAGCCUAAGUCAGAUUAGCUAGUUGGUGGGGUAAAGGCCUACCAAGGCGACGAUCUGUAGCGGGUCUGAGAGGAUGAUCCGCCACACUGGGACUGAGACACGGCCCAGACUCCUACGGGAGGCAGCAGUGGGGAAUAUUGGACAAUGGGCGAAAGCCUGAUCCAGCCAUGCCGCGUGUGUGAAGAAGGCCUUUUGGUUGUAAAGCACUUUAAGCGAGGAGGAGGCUACUGAGAUUAAUACUCUAGGAUAGUGGACGUUACUCGCAGAAUAAGCACCGGCUAACUCUGUGCCAGCAGCCGCGGUAAUACAGAGGGUGCGAGCGUUAAUCGGAUUUACUGGGCGUAAAGCGUGCGUAGGCGGCUUUUUAAGUCGGAUGUGAAAUCCCUGAGCUUAACUUAGGAAUUGCAUUCGAUACUGGGAAGCUAGAGUAUGGGAGAGGAUGGUAGAAU